This 72-nucleotide transfer RNA is filed under the name Candidatus Palauibacterales bacterium. RNAcentral's name for it is "tRNA-Gly". It matches the Rfam family "tRNA". Rfam says of the family: Transfer RNA (tRNA) molecules are approximately 80 nucleotides in length. Their secondary structure includes four short double-helical elements and three loops (D, anti-codon, and T loops). Lineage: Bacteria; Pseudomonadati; Gemmatimonadota; Gemmatimonadia; Candidatus Palauibacterales. The record is from RNAcentral.
GCUCCAGUGGCCGAGUGGCUGAGGCUCCAGCCUUCCAAGCUGGCGACAGGGGUUCGAUUCCCCUCUGGAGUU